GCCACCGGUUGACACCUAGCUCGAACUUGACACCUAAAACUCUACCAUUUGACGAUCCACCUCGCCAGCAUACUCCAUUUCUCUCCCUUAUUACGUUCCACGAAGAAACAAAACGCGUCCACCUCGGAAUCGCCGGGAACGGCCUUGUCUUUCUUGUCAGUCGGAAGUGUUUGAUCGUCUUCAUCCACUCUCUGAUCGAGCCGUUCAAGAACGUCGGAGCGUGGCCACGGCUGUCUCCGGUGUCCAAAGCGCCGCCAUUCGUCGCUUCGCCGUUUCCGUUGACCGGGUGCAUUUCCGGCUGAGCUCUCACACCCCCGAUGUCCACAAGAUUCCACGAGAACGAUGGCCGAAGGAAUCGAACUGGAAGCGCGUGGAUAGGGAGAUCCCCUCCUUCUUCCUCAAGUCCGGCCGCCGCCUCCAUCCUUGAUUUCGUCCUCUCCGCUCGUUGACCGUAGCACACCGUCGACAUCCACCCGGAGUUCUUCCUCACCGCCGAGCCGUUCCAACCGAAGCCGCUGCUAUCAAAGCCUCGCAGAUCCCUUCUUACAUCCUAGUGAGUAUAGAUGGCCAAACGGGCGGCACGGCCCGGCACGGCCCAGGCCUGGCCAUGCCUGUGCCGAAGUUAGUCUGGCCGGCACGGCCCGAUCUACACUCUGGGCCGUGUUGUGCCAGCCCACGGGCCGCACACAUGGCCCAGGCACGGCCCAACAUGACUCGGGCUAUGCUGGGCCGGCCCGAAGGCACAACGGUCCAUUGCGCUUUUUCACAGAAUAAGUCUAUUUUUGGUUCCUCAACUCUGUGGUCUGGAUAGAAAAUAAGUCUAUUUUGUAUUCCUCUUCUCUUUUGGGCCCUGUAUGACAUGGUUCAUUAAGUCUAUUUUGCGUUCCUCAA
Molecule: long non-coding RNA, 891 nt
Organism: Oryza sativa Japonica Group (Japanese rice)
Lineage: Eukaryota; Viridiplantae; Streptophyta; Magnoliopsida; Poales; Poaceae
Source: RefSeq, a predicted model, not a curated record